RNAcentral lists this ribosomal RNA (253 nucleotides) under uncultured bacterium. Its description in RNAcentral is "partial 16S ribosomal RNA". It matches the Rfam family "Bacterial small subunit ribosomal RNA", at positions 524 to 776 of the family's 1533-position model. The record is from RNAcentral.
UACAGAGGGGGCCAGCGUUAUUCGGAAUUAUUGGGCGUAAAGGGCGCGUAGGCGGCCAUGCGUGUCUUCCGUGAAAUCCCUCGGCUUAACUGAGGACGUGCGGAAGAAACUGCAAGGCUCGAGUCCGGGAGAGGGGGGUGGAAUUCCCAGUGUAGCGGUGAAAUGCGUAGAUAUUGGGAGGAACACCAGUGGCGAAGGCGGCUUUCUGGCCUGUUCUUGACGCUGAGGCGCGAAAGCUAGGGGAGCAAACGGG